RNAcentral lists this small RNA (819 nucleotides) under Arabidopsis thaliana (thale cress). RNAcentral's name for it is "ATSL101440". The record is from RNAcentral. Lineage: Eukaryota; Viridiplantae; Streptophyta; Magnoliopsida; Brassicales; Brassicaceae.
AUUUAAUAUUGUAUAAUUGUAUUUUGAUUGUUGUUUCUCGGAUUUCACCCGUAGUACACCAUCCCAUAUUAAUAUCGAAUCAAACCCGUCAAUUCUAAGAUUUCACCCGUAGUAGUAUUUAAUUGUAUAAUUAUAUUUUAAUUGUCAUUCUAGGAUUUCACUCCUAAUUCUAUCGCAAAUUAUUAUCAACCCAAACCAGUCAAUUCUAAAAUAUCACCCGUAAUACACCAUCCCAUAUUAAUAUCGAAUCAAACCCGUCAAUUCUAUGAUUUCACCCGUGGUAGUAUUUAAUUGUAUAAUUAUAUUUUAAUUGUCAUUCUAAAAUUUCACUCCUAAUUCUAUCGCAAAUUAUUAUCAACCCAAACCAGUCAAUUCUAAAAUAUCACCCGUAGUACACCAUCCCAUAUUAAUAUCGAUUCAAACUCGUCAAUUCUAGGAUUUCACUCGUGGUAGUAUUUAAUUGUAUAACUAUAUUUUGAUUGUCAUUCUAGGAUUUAACUCCUAGUUCUAUCGCAAAUUCUUAUCAACCCAAACAGUCAAUUCUAAAAUUUCACCCGUAUUAUAAAGUUUAAAUAUUUAUAAUGUUUAAAUUUCUUAUAAAAUAAUCAAAAUGUGUUUUAAAAAAAUUAAAGUUUUAAGUGUUUUUUUUUAAUAUUGUUAAUUUUGUUUAGUGUUUAAGAUUAUAUAAUUAUAUUAUGAUUGUUAUUAUAUGUUUUUUUCAUAGCAUACUAUCCCAUGUUAUUAUCCACUCAAACCCGUCACGCCAUAUAACCCCGUCCCGUGAAAUUAAACACAAAUUUGUCAUUUUAUUAUAAAUAU